RNAcentral lists this ribosomal RNA (1361 nucleotides) under uncultured bacterium. RNAcentral describes it as "partial 16S ribosomal RNA". It matches the Rfam family "Bacterial small subunit ribosomal RNA", at positions 153 to 1472 of the family's 1533-position model. The record is from RNAcentral.
GGAACUCGAAUUAAUACCGCAUACGACCUACGGGAGAAAGGGGGCAACUUGUUGCUCUCGCUAUUAGAUGAGCCUAAGUCGGAUUAGCUAGAUGGUGGGGUAAAGGCCUACCAUGGCGACGAUCUGUAGCUGGUCUGAGAGGAUGAUCAGCCACACCGGGACUGAGACACGGCCCGGACUCCUACGGGAGGCAGCAGUGGGGAAUAUUGGACAAUGGGGGAAACCCUGAUCCAGCCAUGCCGCGUGUGUGAAGAAGGCCUUUUGGUUGUAAAGCACUUUAAGCAGUGAAGAAGACUCUUCGGUUAAUACCCGGAGACGAUGACAUUAGCUGCAGAAUAAGCACCGGCUAACUCUGUGCCAGCAGCCGCGGUAAUACAGAGGGUGCAAGCGUUAAUCGGAAUUACUGGGCGUAAAGCGAGCGUAGGUGGCUUGAUAAGUCAGAUGUGAAAUCCCCGGGCUUAACCUGGGAACUGCAUCUGAUACUGUCAGGCUAGAGUAGGUGAGAGGAAGGUAGAAUUCCAGGUGUAGCGGUGAAAUGCGUAGAGAUCUGGAGNGAANNUACCGANUGGCCGANGGCAGCCUUCUGGCAUCAUACUGACGCUGAGGCUCGAAAGCGUGGGUAGCAAACAGGAUUAGAUACCCUGGUAGUCCACGCCGUAAACGAUGUCUACUAGUCGUUGGGNUCCCUUGAGGACUUAGUGACGCAGCUAACGCAAUAAGNUAGACCGCCNUGGGGAGUACGGNCGNCAAGGNUUAAAACUCAAAUGAAUUNGACNGGGGGCCCGCNACAAGNCGGNUGGAGCAUGNUGGUUUNAAUUNCGANUGCAACGNCGAAGAACCUUANCCNUGGNUCUUGNACAUCCAGNAGGACUUUCCAGNAGAUGGANUUGGNUGNCCUUCGGGAACUCUNNGAGANCAGGUGNNCUNGCAUGGCNUNGUCGUNCAGCUCGUGUUGUGAAAUGUUGGGUUAAGUCCCGUAACGAGCGCAACCCCUAUCCUUAUUUGCCAGCGAGUAAUGUCGGGAACUCUAAGGAGACUGCCGGUGACAAACCGGAGGAAGGUGGGGGCGACGUCAAGUCAUCAUGGCCCUUACGGGUAGGGCUACACACGUGCUACAAUGGCAAGUACAAAGGGUUGCAAUACUGCGAAGUGGAGCCAAUCCCAUAAAGCUUGCCUCAGUCCGGAUUGGAGUCUGCAACUCGACUCCAUGAAGUCGGAAUCGCUAGUAAUCGUGGAUCAGAAUGCCACGGUGAAUACGUUCCCGGGCCUUGUACACACCGCCCGUCACACCAUGGGAGUGGACUGCACCAGAAGUGGUUAGCCUAACCUUCGGGAGGGCGAUCACCACGGUGUGGUUUCAU